UACGUAGGGUGCGAGCGUUGUCCGGAAUUACUGGGCGUAAAGAGCUCGUAGGUGGUUUGUCGCGUUGUUCGUGAAAACUCACAGCUUAACUGUGGGCGUGCGGGCGAUACGGGCAGACUGGAGUACUGCAGGGGAGACUGGAAUUCCUGGUGUAGCGGUGGAAUGCGCAGAUAUCAGGAGGAACACCGGUGGCGAAGGCGGGUCUCUGGGCAGUUCCUGACGCUGAGGCGCGAAGGCCAGGGGAGCAAACGGG
Molecule: ribosomal RNA, 253 nt
Filed under: uncultured bacterium
Lineage: Bacteria
Description: partial 16S ribosomal RNA
Rfam family: Bacterial small subunit ribosomal RNA
Source: RNAcentral